Gallus gallus (chicken) is the source of this 681-nucleotide long non-coding RNA. RefSeq lists it as uncharacterized. NCBI's taxonomy places the organism in Eukaryota, Metazoa, Chordata, Aves, Galliformes, Phasianidae. The record is from RefSeq and is a predicted model, not a curated record. The transcript is spliced from 3 exons.
AAAUGUUUAAAAUGUUUUUUGCAAGAUAAGCCCUCAACAAACAGUCGUCCUGUUCCACUUUUGGCCAGUCUCAAUGCUUGUCUUCCAGAAUGUCUGCGUGUGGAUGAAUCGCAACAGGAUCCUGGGAAUUUUUAAGAAAGGGAGGAAGGAGGACCCGGGGAACUACAGGCCGGUGAGCCUCACCUCUGUGCCUGGGAAGAUCAUGGAGCAGAUCCUCCUACAAGAGGAGGAAACUUACAGGAGAAAAAAACUACAGGAAAUAUUGUUUCACGUGUAAUGAAAAGCCAGGGUCCAGAAGAUCACUGCGGCCAGAUGCCAAUUUUGAUGCCCUCGUCACUAAGACUUGUCCAAGCCCUGAUGUAUGUGAAGCUCAUCAGGAGGGAAUGCUAGCAAGAAUCAGCUAACACAAUAGCAGCAAGCUUUCAGUGACAGCGUUCAGGAAGGGUGACGAUUCAGGCUGGGAGCAGGGUGUAAGAGAAUGAACUCUGUAGGAGCGCUGCUGUCAUAGGCCACCAAGGGCCCGGGAUGCCUGGCUGAAAUUUGAUGUUGCAGAUACCUUGGUGUCACUGGAAUCCAUGGAGUUGACACAGUCCUCUGAUGGCUGGAUUUCUGCUUUCUAAGGGUAUUCCUUUCUGUUUCUCAACUUUUCGGGUGAUACUGCUUUGCUUUCCUUGGCUUUUU